AGUCAUAUGCUUGUCUCAAAGAUUAAGCCAUGCAUGUCUAAGUAUAAGCAAUUAUACAGCGAAACUGCGAAUGGCUCAUUAUAUAAGUUAUCGUUUAUUUGAUAGUGCCUUACUACUUGGAUAACCGUGGUAAUUCUAGAGCUAAUACAUGCUAAAAACCCCGACUUCGGAAGGGGUGUAUUUAUUAGAUACAAAACCAAUGCCCUUCGGGGCUCUUUGGUGAUUCAUGAUAACUAUACGAAUCGCACGGCCUUGCGCCGGCGAUGGUUCAUUCAAAUUUCUUCCCUAUCAACUUUCGAUGUUUGGGUAUUGGCCAAACAUGGUUGCAACGGGUAACGGAGGGUUAGGGCUCGACCCCGGAGAAGGAGCCUGAGAAACGGCUACUACAUCCAAGGAAGGCAGCAGGCGCGCAAAUUACCCAAUCCCGACUCGGGGAGGUAGUGACAAUAAAUACUGAUACAGGGCCCUUUCGGGCCUUGUAAUUGGAAUGAGUACAAUUUAAAUCCCUUAACGAGGAACAAUU
RNAcentral lists this ribosomal RNA (523 nucleotides) under uncultured fungus. RNAcentral's name for it is "SSU rRNA". It matches the Rfam family "Eukaryotic small subunit ribosomal RNA", at positions 22 to 549 of the family's 1831-position model. The record is from RNAcentral. Lineage: Eukaryota; Fungi.